RNAcentral lists this long non-coding RNA (26794 nucleotides) under Physcomitrium patens. RNAcentral describes it as "long non-coding RNA (PPAT_LNC004844)". The record is from RNAcentral. Lineage: Eukaryota; Viridiplantae; Streptophyta; Bryopsida; Funariales; Funariaceae.
GGGGUGGCCACACUCACUCUCUCUCUCUCUUUUUUUUUUGGGGCAAAGCCAUGCCAAAUUGCAUCCCCACGUACCCUUGUUUCUAUAGAGCUGCAAUUGCGUAGCUGUAGUGUAUUAGUUAUCAGGAAAUAGAACGUCAAACUUUACCAAUAGUUAGAUCUUGACGUUAGCUUCCUCGGGACAGUAGGCACGCUUUGUUUGGAGAGAAAACAAGAAAGUUGUGGUGGUUUUAGUGACAAGGAGGUCAGCUGCCGGCCAGAUCUGGAGGUCCGACUUUGGAAGGCGAGUGUUGGCGGAAAUUAUUGAAAUUGGAGCUGAAACUUUUGUGGGAGAUGGUUCUUGUUGUCAGCUUUGCAAGGAUUAUUUGCACGCUUAGAUUGAGUAAAGGCCAAGGAAGUUAUGGUGGUUGGAGUGAAGAGGAGUCGGCCGUGGUGAAGAUGAAGCACUCCGCCAACUCAAGCUACUUUGGAAGGUCAUAUCUUGGAAUUCACUCAAGAUUUUCAAGAAAAAAUUGUUGGAGGUGAUGCGGCUUCAAUUCUAGUUUUUGGAAUGCUAAAGCAUAUGCGUUGCACAACUGGAAUGGAGCAAGGGCAAGGGUUUUUGUGGCCAGGGGUGCUCUGACUAGGCCGAGAAAGUCAGGCAACUUUGAGGCAAGAUUUCUCUUAGCUUAAUUGUUGUUUUGCAUUGAAUUUUAAUGGAGGACAAGCGCUUGUAAGUCUACUUUCUGAAAUAGCAAAGCUUGUUAUAAAAAAGUUAGUGAUGCAACCAUUGUAGUGGAAUUCGUGCAAGGGGGUCGCUACCAUGACUUGGAAGGUGGCAACUUCCAAUUUUCUUUAAUUUUUAGGAUGAAUCUUGGAUGAAUUAGGUCAAUUGUACGAAUUUUCAAUUGGAUGAUAAGUUGACUUAUGGUUGGAUGAAUGAAUCUUUAGAUGAAAAUUAGAUGAACAAACUUUGAAUGAAUGAAUGAAUGUUAUAGGAUGAAUGAGAUUUAAGGGAUGGAUGAUUGAUGAAGGAAAAUUUAGGAUGAAUGAACUUAGGGUUUAUGGAUGAACUUAGGGUUUAUGGAUGAACUUAGGGUUUCUGGAUGAACUUAGGGUUUCUGGAUGAACUUAGGAUUUAUGGGUGAACUUAGGAUUUAUGGAUGAACUUAGGGUUUAUGAAUGAACUUAGGGUUUAUAAAAAUUACGUGUGAGUGAAGUUAAUCCACUUGACUACUAAACGCAAUUAAGGGUGGAGGAAUUUAGCUCACAGAUGUUAGGAUCAAUGACCAAUUCCAGUGCCAAUAUUUAGGGGCCAAUUAAUGUCACCCUAUUACAAGCUGUACCACCAAACGUAACAACAACGUAUGCUCUACCAGUAUCGUAUUAUGUACUAUCUAGCUUGAGAAUGCAUCAGGCGUCUAGUUGUGGAAGAUAAAAUGAUGUUUUGCAAAUAUUCAAGUAGUCUAGUGGUUUUCAACCAUCUAAACACAAACUAUUUUGGAUUUCAAUGUAAAAGCUUAAUCUCAAUACAAAGUGCUUAGAAAUACUAUUUUUAAUAACUUCAAGUUAUUAUAAGUACAAAGUCUUUUUUUAUUUGUUAGUUUUAUUUUAUUUUAUUUUAUUUUAUAUAUUUUUAAAUCCUAAUCUUAGACAACAAGCUUUGACAAGGUAAAAUUCUCAAUCUGAUCGUCCGAUUGUUGUAAACUUCUACCGCUAAUGUCUUUGCAAGCCUUCUAAAUGCUCAAGAAGUUUCAAUCCAAUCUAACUUAUAGAUUGCAAGAAAAUAUCGUAAAUCCACAUUGAUGUAUCUUGACUGCCGCCUAGAAGUCCCCGACUUACCAUGCCAAAAGUCACCUUAUUCCAGCUCAUAGAUCUCUAGAUAUUACAAAAGCCCUAAAUAACUCUAAUCUGCUAACUUUCGAUACUUCUUUAUACUAAUGGUCAAAUAUCCUCUAUCUGUUCCAUUAGAUUAAUACAAACUUUUGCAUGCACUUGGCAUACUCAACCCUCUAGACAUCUCUAAAUUUCAACUGCAAAAGUUCCUCCAAUUUCACAAGACAGUCGAGAGUACUAGGCUUAACUUUAUUGCAAAAAAAAACCCAACCACCAAUACAAACACUGACUUUCAGCAAUGAUUGCAAAAGUCCUUUCAAAACCUAUGAAUCCAAUUCACCAAUACAAACACUAGCUUUGAGUAACGAUUGCAAAGUCCUUCCAAAACCUAUGAACCCAAUUCACUAAUACAAACACUUUUCGAAGGAGCUUGAAGCUUCUUUUUGACCCCCAAAAUCUUAAUUUCCGAAUCCCCUUAAAAAUCCUCUUUUUAUUCCCUUCAGUUUAACUCCGUGUGGUUCCAUUUUCUCCCACUCUUGACUCCAAAUUGGAACAAUUGAUGGCACUUCUCCGAAAUUCCUGUCUCUAAGAGGAUCUUAUCCCGUAAAUGAUGUUUCUCUUAGAAUGGCAUAGAGAACGGAAUAGCUUGAGAUGGAAUCGAAGCCUCCAUAAUUAGGACCUCAUUGGGUUGCCCAAUCGAGUCAAGUCCCACACUGGGUAAGAUGCUUGUAAUAGGAGCUGGAUUAGAUGUCCCAUAAUUGGGUCAAAUUGGCCCUUUGCAUCAAGCUCACCCAAUUUUUGAAUUGGUCCUUUCCCCUUUUUUUGACUCUUGGUAAGAACAACUUGGACACAUUCCACCCGUUUAUUAGAGAAUCUUGAGGUCUUUGAUUUAUCUCCUCAAUUUUUCCUUGGCUUUAGAUCUACUGAUCUCGUUUAUUGAAAUUGGACGGAGCAUUACAUUGCUGAUAAGUAUGCCCCGACUGCUUAUAAUUCCUAUAAAUUGGUGCGCAAUCAUUACUGGCUUUGGGAUUGGAACAUUCACUGGCAUAAUGACCAACCUGUCUGCAACGGAAAUGACAAAGUAGUCUUCUUGUACUCCCAUCAUGCAUAUUGGGUGUCUCCACCGGUAUAUACCUACUAGGCUUGUUCCAUGUAGGAUUGGAAAGUGAUCGUAGUUGUUUUGUUGGUAUGGAGGGUACUUGAUUUGAUGAUGCUAGUGGGGUGAUAUUAACUGAUCCUGAAUAUUGGCACUUGAAUUGGCCACUGUUUCUAACAUUUAAGAUGACUAAAUAUUAAUAAUAUCUUUUUUAUUUAUAUUUUCACUAUAUAGUCAUAUUACAACACGACAUCCACUUCUUCCGAACGUGUGCAUCCUUUGGUAUGCACCAAAUAACCCAGUUGUUGUUUGAUUCAUAACAUGUUUUCCAAGUCUUCGUCAAAAUUCUCUUCAUUAUUUUUCCUAUUCAUAUCAAAUUCAUAUUCUUGUCAAGGAAUAUCUAUAUCUUCACCAAGAUCUUCUAUAUUUAUUUUUAUAUGUCUUUGUUUAAAUAUUUUUAUUCGCUUCCCUGGAAUUGGUAUUUUUAACCUUGUUCCAUCUAACUUCCACAAUGAGUAAGUUAAAUUAUCAUGAAUAGUUGUUACUACAUACGGUCCAAACCAUCGCUUAGAAAACUUCCUUAAAAUACUAUGUAGAUUGUCCAAGCUACUAUCAUAGACCAAAAUCCAAUCACCUUCUUCAAUUGCUUUAGGCCUCAAUCGAUGCUGCUUAUCAAAUUGUGCCUUAUUUUGUAACCUUGAUCUUUUUAACCUUUCUAAUGCUACUUGCACAUCUUCCAAUCUUUGCUCUAAUUGUUGAAUUCUAAUAGCUAGAAGUUUUUCUCUUAUCAAUCCAUCUUCCUAUGGUAGCACACUCCAAGUAGGUAUUUUUUUUUCAAUUGGCAUAAUUAGUUUUUGACCUGUCAUAAGCUCAAUAGGCAUAUAUCCCGUUACUGAGCUAUGAGUUGUUCGAUCAACCCAUAAUAUAAAUGACAAAAGUUGUGGUUAUUUUCUAACCUUUCUAUUACAAGCUUUAAUUAAUGCUUUUUUAAUCGGUGGGUGACCACGCUUACUUUUUGCAUUUCUUUCAAGAUUAUAAGUAGUAGUCAGUGAUAGUUUCAUUCCACAUCUUUCAAAGAAUUCACAAGCUUCUUGUGUAUUUAAUUCUCCAUGAUCUGCAGUGAUUUUUCUUAUACAUCCGUAGCAGCAAAUAACAUCUUCAAGCAAACAUCUACAAAUUCUUUCUGUAGAUUUUGUUCUCAAUGCUCUUCCUUCUACUUGAUUUGAUAAAUCUUCAUGAGUUAAGACUAAAUAUCUCAUUUGCCAUAAAUCAAUUGGCAUAAUAACUAAAUCAACAAUCCAUUUAAAAUGAAUAGCUAGAGGAUAUGUAUGAUGAAGACCAUCUCGAUGUCGUAUAUUAGAAUACAUUUGACAAAUUUCACAUGACUCUGCAAAUAAGAGCACAUCUCAAUACAUAUUUUUCCACCAAUAUCGUUCCUUAAGCUUAGCAAAAGUAGCCCAAAUUCUUCUAUGUCCUGUCCAUAUACUAUCAUGAAAUCCCUUUAAUAAUUUUUGUUUCUCUUCCUUAUUGCCUAUCACUCUUUGUAGCAUUCCAAUUCCUUUCUUUGGUCUCUUCCAUAAGAAUCCUUCUUGAAACAAAAAUACAUAUGCAUUUUUACUUAUUUAUUUAAAUUUUUUUGUAGACCAAUUUUCUUGCUUAGUCAAGAUAAUCAAGUAAUGACCAAUGUCCAAUAAUUCUCCUUCGUAAAUUUUUUCAAGAAAUAGCUUGUCUUCUUUGUUAAGAUUUGAUACUGAAUAGAAUUUUGAUGCAACAUCAUCAAUAUCUUCAACCAUUUCGUCUUCUCUUUCAUAUCUUGUUCUAGAUAGCAUAUCUGCUCCUAAAUUAUCUUUUUCAACAAUGUGCUUAAAUUCUGGAUUUAAUGACUUAAUAUAAGUAAUCCAUCUUAACAUUGCAAUAUCCUGCAUUGAACAAUUAGUAAUCAUUCUAAGUAAUGGCAAGCAAUCCGUUUCAUUUACUAUUGUUGUACCAAUCAAAUAAUCCCUUUCAACUUUCAUAGCUGAAACAACUCUCCAAAGUUCUCUUUUGACUUGCAAAUAUACACGUUGAUGAGUAUUUAAAACUUUAGCUCCAAAUCGAACUACAAAUCUAUUUCUACUUGAAUCAUCUUGACCUACAACUCAUCCAAUAGCAAUAGGACUAGUAUCCACAAUAAAAAUUACUUAUCUAUUAUAGUCAUAAUCAAUUUUUCUUAAAAUUGGAGGUGUCACCAAUAACACCUUUAGCUUCUACAUUGCUUUAGUAUGCUUUUUCUCCCAUUUAAAUCGAUAAUCCUUACGUAAUAGUUCAUACAAUGGAUCCGCUACAUGAGCAUAAUGAGGAGUCCAUAUAUGAUAAAAUACAUAAGCUCCUAAAUACUUGUGUACUUCUGUUAAAGAGUUACAUGAAUCCUUCAUCUUUCCAAUUGCAUCAACUUUGCUUGGAUCUGGCUUUUUUCCAUAAAAUCCACACAAAUGCACAACAAUAAAAACUUCCUGUACUCCAAAUGUAGAUUUUGCUCUUGAAAGUGUAAGAUGAACAUCUUUAAGUCAAGUUAAAAUCAUUUCACAAUCUUUUAUAUAAUCAACAACAUAUUUGCGACACCUCUUCUCAUCUAAAGUUUCAUCUUUUUCUCCUUCUUUACAUCCUUUGAUAAGAACAUCAUCUAAAAAAGGCAUAGUUUUUUUAGGAAUGAAGUCUCUUAAUACCUUGUUCAUCCCAUUCAUCAUAUGUUCAAUUGAGUUACUAGCACCUUGUGGGAGAGUACAUAUUUUAAGAAAGCCAAGUGGCAUUCUCAUUGUUGUUAGAUCUCUACUCCCAUACACAAGUUGAAAUUUAUUGUAAUCCAAAUAUAAAUCACCCAUUGAAUAAAUUGUUCUUUUCGCAAACGCUUCUGUAAACUCGUCUACUAAAGAUCCUAUACCUACAUUUCUUAUAGUUACUGCAUCCAUUGGCUGCAUAUCUUUAAGAAAACAUAACGAUCUAUUUUUUUUAGGCAUUGUAAACCAACGACUAGAAUAUGGAGCAAAAAAAGGCUCCAAAAUUUUCAUUUGGAUCUUUUCUUUCAAUAAUUCCACCAAUUUAGGUAAAUGUGCCCUCGACAUGGAAAUUGGCCUUGAGUUCCAAGGUACAUGAGGUACUGUAAAGAUAACCAUAGGAGCAACAACAUUAGGAUCUACACAUCCUAUUUCACGAGACCCAAAGGCAAAUGAUUUACCUCGUUUCGCAAGCAUUUUUUUAAAAUAUUCAAUUUCUGUUGGAAAUAAAGAACCGUUGUUGUGUUAUAACACGAGUAUGCCGUGAAAAUAUAAAGAAAGGGGACUUUUAUUAAUGUUCAGUUACCUCAAAUAUUAGGAGCAACGACUAAUUCCAGUGCAAAUACUGAGUGGCCAGGUUCAGUCACCCCGUUACAAUCAACCGGGCCAUACUGAAAUGCUCCAUUCGAUUCCAAUAACGGGAGUCAGCAGGAAGAGAAAGGACCAAUUCAACGAUGGGUGAGCCUGAUUCGAAGAGCCGAUUGGAUCCAAUUUCAAGACAUCCAAUCCAGGUCUUAGCCAAUAUGAGACCUAAAUUGGUCGGGCGACUCAAUGUGGUUCUGAUUACGGGGUUUCGAUUCUGUUUCAGGCUGUCCUGUUCUCUGUGCCAUUUUUGGGAACGUCCUUUCGGUAAAAAGAUCUCUUAAAGAUAAAAACGGAGGAGAAAGCUCUGACAUCAGAGCCAAUUCUGGAUCUAAGAUGGAAGAUUGAAGAAAUUCAGAGGCUAGGGUUUGAGAGAGGGGAGAAUUAGGGUUAAAGGGGAGGAUAGGUUAAGAAAUGGAAGAGAGAGAGAAAAAGUUUUGGAGAAGGAUGGAAGAGCUGGCUUCAUACUUCGGAAAGGGGAAAAAAGAUAGAGAAUUGGAUUUUUUUUUCUUUAUAGGAUUUUAGAAAGACGGAGGCAAAUGUUGCUGAAAUUAGUGUUGUAAUGGUGAAUCAAGAUUUUUAAUGAAGUGGGUGUGAUUACUCUUGACUGUUUUGUGAAAUCGAAGUUACAUCUGUGAUUGAAGAAUUAAAAGGAUGUCUAUAGGAUUGAGUAUGCGGAGUGAAUGAAAAUUAUUGGGUUAAUCUAACAAGACAGUCAGUGGAUAUAAGAUCGUGAGUAUAAAGCGGUAUUGAAGAUUAGCAGUUUGAGUUGUUCGAGAUUCUCUAUAAUGUCUAAAGACCUACCGGCUAGGACAAAAAGGAUUUUGGCAAAAGGUCAAAGGACGUCCGUAUAGGUUUACGAUAUAUUCUUACAGUUAUUUAUAUUCCAACAAUCAAAAACCGAUAGACUGCUUGAAUAUUAGCGAAUCUCCAUACUACCUUCUACAGCCAGACGUCCAGCGCGUUCUCAAGCAGGAAAGUACGUAAUACGACAUAAGUAGUGAACCUGACGUGAAAGCUUGAGGUGGAAGGUAUUGGAUUUUGUUUAAUUUUAUUUUUAUUUUAUGGAAAAUAAAAAUAAAAAUUUUGAAGGAUCUUUCGGAGGAGUUUCUGGUGGAGAUUCUUCUUAAGGACAAGGUAUGCACAUGGAUCCGUCUAUUACUAGUAUGUUUCAAGCCUUCUCAUUAUCAAUGCAGCAACAGCAAAGCAAUGAUCGAAAGGAAGCUUUGGCAACCAAAGCAUUGCAAGCAGUGGUCAAUAAAAUUGAUCAAUUUGAUGGAAGGAAUAUUUCAAGGUAUUUAAGAUGUUAUAUUCAUGAAAUGGAAUUAAAUCGGGUUUCUGAGAAGAAAAUGGUUGAAUUAUUUGGACUCGCCACGAUAUCGGAGAUAAGAGACCAUAUUACAUCAAUUAUGGAUCGUUAUGGGAAUUCAUGGGAGGUUUUUUCACAUGCAUUGAAAGACAAAUAUUUCUUGGAAGAUGCUGGUCGCAUUACUAAGAAGCUGUUUCUGGAAUGGAUUGAACGGCCUAAUAAGAAUUUGCAAGCAACAGAGCUACUAAGGAAAUUUGAGAGGCAGUACUCUUAAUUAUUGAAGGUAGAAAAAUUGACAUUGGAGCCGAACAAAGUUGAUCUAUUUCUUCAAGCUGCUGAUGGAGAAUUGCAAGAGAAAUUAGAACUUCUUCUUGAAGACAAAGAAGAAGAUGAAGGAUUGACAACAAAGAGGAGGAACGUUGAAGAUGCGGUGAGGUUGCUUACAAAAAGAGAAAGGAAGAAGGAUAGGAGCAAUAUUCCGAAAACAAUACAAGCAUCCAAAGCUCCAGUACGUACAACACCACCAACAAUGCCUGCAGUUCAACCUUUGACAUCCUUAUGAAAGAAAGCACAUAUGGGGAUGGAAGAAAUUAUACGAGGAAUGCGAGAUCUUCAAAUCAAAUUGGCAAGACUUGAAGAGAAUACUUCUACAAACAAUUUGAAGAAUGUUUCAAAAACAAGAAUAUGUGGUCGGAUGCAUUUGGUGUGAUGANNNNNNNNNNNNNNNNNNNNNNNNNNNNNNNNNNNNNNNNNNNNNNNNNNNNNNNNNNNNNNNNNNNNNNNNNNNNNNNNNNNNNNNNNNNNNNNNNNNNACACACUAGAAAAGAUUGCAAUGAAUUUAAUAAUAUGAUACGGCAAGGAAUUAUUUGGUGAAAAGAUGGAAAGAUAGCAUUAAAAGAUAGGGAGGAUCUUCUUCAAACCAAUUUUGGCAAGGGAGGAAUGAGAGCAUUGGUUCAAGAUUACUUAAAAGAGCAUGAAACAGUAGCACGAGAAAGUGCAAGUUAUGGUGCUAGAGUAGAUGAUGAAAUUGGUGGAAGUACGGAAACUAGUGAGUUUAGGCUUCUGCCGUUUCUACAAUGCAAGAAGGGAAAUUACCUCGAGCAGCGUUAUUGAGAACUGCUGCUACAAUACGAGGUAGAACAGGUUGGGAGGAUCCUGUUGAGUCUCUUUUAGUUCAUGCAUAUAUUGCUAAGAGCCAACAUGAAGCUUUGAUGGAAGAAAAGAGAUGAGGAAAUUUUGAUGAUACUAGAGAAGGAAAUUCUUCUAAGAGGCAAACUCGAGGAGAUAAGGCUCGGGAGGCAGCUUCACAAGAAUUGCUUGUAAAGGAUACCUCAGCAUCAUUGGAAGAAAAAACAAAGGAGACAAAAGAUAAGGGCAAAUCAAUUGCUUAUAAGCUACUUUCUGACAUUGAAGCAGCAACAAAUUUGAAAGGGGUGUUGGAAAAACGUAUAUUAAAUGCUAAAGUGGAAUUCACAUUGAAAGAAGUUUUGGGAAUUACAAAGAAGGAGUUUCAUGAUAUUAUCAUUGACAUCAUUAAGCGAAAGAGGUAAUUAAUGGACAAAACUGGAAUGAGUCAUGCUAUUGAUGCAAGAAUAUAUAAAGAUGAAGAAGAGGUUGAUAUUGGUUACAAGCAACCAACAAAUGAAAAGAAUGGGUAUAAUAAAUGAGUACGUUUCGAAGAUUAUAGUGAUAAGGAAAUGGAAACUUUGAGCCAUUAUACUCGAAAGCAUUGGGCAAGGGCAACUACUGAGGUAUUGGUGAAAGUAGGAGAUAUAGAAGAACCAAUUGUUGCUUUAGUCGAACAUGGUUCUGAAAUAAAUCUCAUGUCUAAAGAUCUUUAUAAGAAGCAAAAAUGGCCAAUUGAUAUGGAACAUGGAUGGGCAAUACGAGCAGCUAAUAACACACAAGGCAAAUUAUAUGGAGCUUGUCUAGAUGUCAAAAUUCGGAUUGGGGAUGUUGCGACGGAACAACAUUUCUUUGUUCAAGAUACAAUAUCUUAUCCGUUGAUUUUAGGAUAACCUUAUAUUAUGGCAACACGGAUGGAAACAAAAGUACUUGACGAUGGUUCUGCUUAGGCAAGGAUACGUAGCCAAAAUGAGAGGAAAGUUGUAUAAUUUCUAACAGUACCUCCUAACCAUGAACGGAAUUGAGAUAAGUUGAGGGAGAAACCAUUGCCAAAGAUUGUUGAAGGAUUUAAGGAUUUUGGGGAGAUACCACUGUAAAGCGAGAUUAUGGAGGUACAAAAGAGGAGGUACUCUCGUGAGAUAAAGGUGCCUUUGAUGUGAGUUUUAUUGAUAUUUUAGAGAAUGGAAAUAUUAUGUAUAAGAAAGUGGAUGAUUUUAAAAGAAAAGAAAGAAAAAGAUUAUAUAAUAUUGAAGGAGAAUUACACAAGUUAGGAACAUUGCAAGAUGAUGAGAAGAUUUUAGGUGUUUAUGAAGAAAAUGGACUAGAAGAUUCAUUGGAGUUGAUUACAUCUAUUGGGUUAAGGGAUAAUGAUAAGAUUGUUGAGAUUCAUUCAAGAGAGGUUUAUACCAUACUUGAAUCUUUUCAAGCACUAGAAGUCACUAUAGAGACGAGAUGUAAAACGGCAGAUAAGAAGAUAAAGCCUGUUGCCAGACCAUUACCAGAAGAUUCUAAAGAACAAAUGGGAGAAGCAUCAAAAGAAGCAAGUUUAAGAGAUUCAAUGAGUAUUGGACAUCAGUUUAUUAAAGAGACUUUUGAAGAAUUGAAGAUUGAUUCUGAUGGACCUUUAUUGUCGAAGGAAAUUACUUGCUUCAAAAAGAUGUUGGCUAAACAAGGUAGAUCAUUUGCCUUCAAAUCUCAUGAAAUUGGGUGUGUGGAUCCAAAUAUUAUAACACCUAUGGUUGUCUUCACUGUACCACAUGUACCUUGGAAUCUAAGACCGAUUUCAAUAUCGAGGGUACAUUUACCUAAAUUGGUGGAACUAUUAAAGGAAAAGAAAAAGAUGAAAAUAUUGGAACCCUCAUUUGUGUCGUAUUCUAGUCGAUGGUUUACGGUACCUAAGAAGAAUGGGUCACUAUGGUUUAUUCAAGAUAUACAACCAAUGAAUGCAGUAACUAUCAGGAAUGCAGGAAUUGGACCUAUUGUGGAUGAAUUUACUGAGGCGUUUGCAAGAAGGGCGAUCUAUUCAAUGGAUGACUUGUAUUCAAGUUAUGAUCAAUUUCAACUUGUCGAAGGAAGUAGAGAUAUGACAACAAUGAGGACACCACUUGGAUUGGUUAGAAUGUGCAUUCUUCCUCAAGGCACGACCAACUUAGUUACGCAUAUGAUAAAUGGGAUGAAUAAGGUAUUGAGAGAUUUUAUUUUGGAGAAGACUAUGCCUUUUCUAGAUGAUGUUCUUAUAAAAGGAUGCAGAGAAGGAAACAAGGAUGAAACUUUAGAUAAGAGGGGGUGUCGCAAAUAUGUUGUUGAUCAUAUACAAGAUUGUGAAAAGAUUUUAACUCGGCUUGGAGAAGUUCAUCUUACAUUAUCGGAUAUGAAGUCCGUAUUUGGAGUAUGAGAGGUUGUGAUUGUUGGACAUUUAUGUGGAUCUUACGGAAGAAAACCAGAUCUGACUAAAGUUGAUGCAAUUGGAAGGAUGAAAGAGGAUCGUGAUUCUUUAACAAAGGUUCGCAGGUUUUUGAGUGCAUGUGUAUUUUAUCGAAUCUGGAUCCUUCAUUAUGCUCACAUAACGGAUCUAUUAUAUGAACUGUUAUGCAAGGGCUACCAAUUUAAAUGGGAAGAAAGGCAUAUUCAAGCAAUGAAAGAUUGAAGAAAUUAUUGAUGUUACCUCUAAUAUUGAGGAAGGUUGAUUAUAAGUGUAAUAGACCAGUGAUUCUUAUUGUGGACGCUAGUCCAAUUGCCAUUGAAUGGGCUGUGGGUCAAGAUGAUUCAAGUGGGAAUAGAUUUGCAGUUCGAUUUGGAGCUAAAGUUUUAAGUAUUCAUUAGCGUACAUAUUUGCAAGUCAAAAGAGAACUUUGGGGAGUUGUUUCACCUAUGAAAGCUGAAAAGGACUAUUUGAUUGGGGCAGUAGUAGUAAUUGAAACAGAUUGCUUGCCAUUGCUCGGAAUGAUUACUAAUUGUUCAACGCCAGAUAUUGCAAUGUUGAGAUGGAUUGCUUAUAUUAAGUCACUAAAUCUGGAAUUUAAGCAUGUUACUGGGAAGGACAAUUUAGUAGCAGACAUGUUAUCUCGAGCAAGAUACGAGAGGGAGGAUGAAAUGGUUGAAGACAUUGAUGACGUCAGAUUGAAAUUCUAUUCAAUAUCAAAUCUCAACAGAGAAGACAAGCUAUUUCUUGAAAAAUCUUAUGAAGGAGAAUUAUUGGAUAUUGGUCAUUACUUGAAUACCUUGACUAAGCAAGUGAAUUGGUCUACAGAAAAAUUCAAACAAAUAAGAAAAAAAGCAUAUGGAUUUUUGCUUCAAGAUGGAUUCUUAUGGAAGAGACCGAAGAAAGGAAUUGGGAUGCCACAACAAGUGAUAAGCAAAAAGGAAGAAAAACUAAAAUUAUUAAAGGUGUUUCAUGAUAGUUUAUGGGCAGGGCAUAGAGGAAUCUGGGCUACUUUUGCUAAACUCAAGGAAACGAUAUUGGUGGAAAAAAUAUGUAUCGAGAUGUGCUCUCAUUUGUAGAGUUAUGUGAAAUCUGUCAAUCAUAUUCUAAUAUCCGACAUCGAGAUGGUCUUCAUCCUACGUAUCCUCUGGUAUUCAUUUUAAAUGGGUUGUUGAUUUGGCUAUUAUUCUAGUUGAGUUAUGGCAGAUGAGAUAUUUGGUUUUAGCUCGUGAAGAUUUAUCAAAUCAAGUAGAAGGAAGAGCAUUGAGGAAAAAAUCUUUAGAGGGGAUUUGUAGGUUUUUGCUUGAAGAUGUCAUUUGCCGCUACGGAUGCGUAGGAAAAAUCACUGCAGAUCAUAGAGAAUUAAAUGCACAAGAAGCUCGUAAGUUCUUUGAAAGAUGUGGAGUUAAACUAUCACUGACUAUUACUUAUAAUCCGGAAAGGAAUGCAAAAAGCGAACGUGGUCACCCACCGAUUGUGAAAGCAUUAGUUAAAGCUUAUAAUAGAAAAGUUAGAGAGUGGCCACGACUUUUGUCAUUUGCAUUAUGGACUGAUUGAACAACACAUAAUUCGAUGAUAGGAUAUAUGCCAGUAGAACUUAUGACAGGUCGAAAACCAAUUAUGCCGAUUGAAGAAAAGGUACUUACUUGGAGUAUGCUUCCAUAGAAAGAUGGAUUGACAAGAGAAGAACUUUUGGCUAUUAGGAUUCGACAAUUGGAGCAAAAAUUGGAAGAUGUGCAAAUAACAUUGGAAAGGUUAAAAAGAGCAAGGUUACAAAACAAGGCGCGAUUUGAUAAGCAACAUCGAUUGAGACCUAAAGCAAUCGAAGAAGGUGACUUGGUACUUGUUUAUGACAAUAGUCUGGAUAAUCAACAUAAUACCUUGUGGAAAUUUUCAAAAUGUUGGUUUGGACCAUAUGUAGUAACAAUUGUUCAUGAUAAUGCGACUUACUCAUUACGGGAGUUAGAUGGUACAAAAUUGAAAAUACCAAUUGCAGAGAAGUGAGUAAAAAUAUUUAAACGAAGACACCCGGAGAUGAAUAUGGAAGACUUUAAUGAAGGUAUAGAGAUUCCGCAGCAAGAGAUUGAAAGUGAUUUGGAUAAUGAAGGUGACGAAGACGAACUGGACAAAGACAUAGAGAAUAUAUUCUAAAUCAAAAAACAAUUGGAUAAAUUGGUGCAUACCAGAGGAUGCACAGGUUCAGAGGGGGUGGAUGUCGUAUUGUAACACAAGUAUGUCAUGAAAAUAUAAAGAAAUGGGACUUUUAUUAAUGUUCAGUUACCUCAAAUAUUGGGAGCAACCACUAAUUCCAGUGCAAAUACUGAGUGGCCAGGUUCAGUCACCCUGUUACAAUCAGCCGAGCAUACUGAAAUGCUCCAUUCGAUUCCAAUAAUGGGAGUCAGCAGGAAGGAAAAGGACCAAUUCAACGAUGGGUGAGCCUGGUUCGAAGAGCCAAUUGGAUCCAAUUUCAAGACAUCCAAUCUAGAUCUUAGCCAAUAUGAGACCUGAAUUGCUCGGGCGACUUAAUGUGGUCCCGAUUACGGGGUUUCGAUUCUGUUUCAAGCUGUCCUGUUCUUUGUGCCAUUUUCGAGAACGUCCUUUCAGUAAAAGAAUCUCUUGAAGGUAAAAACGGAAGAGAAAGCUCUGACGACGGAGCCAAUUUCGGAUCCAAGAUGGAAGAUUGAAGAAAUUCAGAGGCUAGGAUUUGAGAGAGGGGAGAAUUAGAGUUAAAGGAGAGGAAAAAUUAAGAAAUGGAGGGGGGAAAGAAUAAGUUUUGGAGAAGGAUGGAAGAGCUGGCUUCAUGCUUCGGAAAGGGGAAAAAAGAUAGAGAAUUGGAUUUUUUUUUCUUCAUAGGAUUUUGGAAAGACGGAGGCAAACGUUGCUGAAGUCAGUGUUGUAAUGGUGAAUGGGGAUUUUUAAUGAAGUGGAUGUGAUUACUCUUGACUGUUUUGUGAAAUCAAAGUUACGUUUGUGAUUGAAGAAUUAAAAAGAUGUCUAUAGGAUUGAGUAUGCGGAGUGAAUGAAAUUUAUUGGGUUAAUCUAACAAGACGGUCAAUGGAUACAAGAUCGUGAGUAUAAAGCGGUAUUAAAGAUUAGCAGUUUGAGUUGUUCGGGGUUCUCUGUAAUGUCUAGAGACCUACCGGUUGGGGCAAAAAGGAUUUCGACGAGUAGUCAAAGGACGUCCGUAUAGGUUUACGGUAUAUUCUUGCAGUUGUUUAUAUUUCAACAGUCAAAAACCGAUAGACUGCUUGAAUAUUAGCGAAUCUCUAUACUAUCUUCUACAGCCAGACGCCCGGCACGUUCUCGAGCAGGAAAGCACGCAAUACGACACCGUCACAUUCAAUCUUCAAUUCUUCAAAAGUCUCCUUUAUAAACUGAUGUCCAAUCUUUUUUGGAUCUCUUAAAUUCUCUUCUUUUCAUGCUUCUUCCAUUUGUUUCUUAAAAUCUUCUGGUAAAGAUCCAGCAACAAGUUUUACUUUUUUAUCUACUAUUUUAUAUUUUGUCUCUAUAAUAACUUUUGAUGCUUGAAAAGAUUCAAGUAUAGAAUAAACCUUCCUCGAAUGAAUUUCCACAAUCUUAUUAUUAUUUCUUAAUCCAAUAGAUGCAAUUAAUUCUAAAGAAACUUCCAAUCUAUUUUCUUCAUAAAUACCUAAAAUCUUCUCAUCAUCUUCUAAUGUCCUUAACUUGCAUAAUUUUCUUUCAAUACUAUAUAAUAUUUUUCUUUUUUUUCUUUUAAAAACUCCAUAUAAUUCACCUCAUGUAUUAUUAGCUACUCGUAUUGCCUAUCCAUGUUCCAUAUCAAUUGGCUAUUUCUACUUCUUAUAAAGAUCCUUAGACAUAAGAUUUAUUUCAGAACCAUGGUCAACCAAAGCAACAAUUGGUUCUUCUAUAUCUCCUACUUUCACCAAUACUUUAGUAGUUGCCUUUGUCCAAUGUUUCAGAGUAUAAUGGCUUGAAGCUUCUAUUUUUUUAUCACUAUAAUCUUUAAAAUGUACUCGUUGAUUAUAACCAUUCUUUUCAUUUGUUGAUUGCUUAUAACCAUUAUCAACCUCUUCUUCAUCUUUAUAUAAUCUUGCAUCAAUAGCAUGCCUCAUUCCAGCUUCACCCAUUAAUUACUUCUUUCCUUUAAUGCUGUCAAUGAUAAUAUCAUGAAACUCCUUCUUUGCAAUUUCCAAAAUUUCUUUCAAUGUGAAUUCUACCUUAGCAUUUAAUAUACAUUCUUCCAACAGCCCUUUUAAAUUUGUUGCCGCUUCAAUAUCAGAAAGUAGCUUAUAAGCAAUUGAUUUAUCCUUUUUUUUUGUCUCCUUUGUUUUUUCUUCCAAUGAUGCUAAGGUAUCCUUUAUAGUUAAUUCUUGUGAAGCCGCCUCGCGAGCCUUGUCUCCUCAAGUUUACCUCUUAAAAGAGUUUCUUUUUUUUGUAUCAUCAAAAUUUCCUUGUCUCUUUUCUUCCAUCAAAGCUUCAUGUUGGCUCUUAGCAAUAUAUGCAUGAACUGAAAGAGACUCAAUAAGAUCUUCUCAAUCUAUUGCACCUCAUAUUGUAGCUGCAUUCUUCAAUAAUGCUUCUCGAGGUAUUUUCUCCUUUUGUAUUAUAGAAAUGACAGAAGCCCAAAAUUCACUAGUUUCUAUAUUUCUCCCAAAGUCAUCAUCUACUCUAAUACCAUAACUUGCACUCUCUCGUCAUACUACUCCAUGUUCUGUUAAACAAUCUUGAAUCAAUGCUCUCAUACCUUCCUUGCCAAAAUUGAUUUGAAGGAGAUCCUCUGUAUCCUUUAAUGCAAUCUUUCCAUCUUUCUAAUAAAUAAUUCUUUGUUGUACCAUAUUAUUAAAUUCAUUACAAUUCUUCCUAGUAUGUAAAGCAUUAUUAUACCAAAUACAUCUUUGUACAUACUCUUGUUUUGAAACAUUCUUCAAUUUAUUUGUAGAAGUAUUUUCUUCGAGUCUUAUCAAUUUGAUUUGAAGAUCUCGCAUUUCACGUAUAAUUUCUUCAAUUUCCAUGUCUCCUUUCUAUGAUAAAGAUGUCGAAGGUUGAACAAUAGGCAUUGUCAGUCAUGUUGUAUGUAUUGGAUUUUUAGGUGCUUAUAUUGCUUUUGGAAUAUUACUCCUAUCCUUCUUUUUUUCUCUUUUUGCAAGCAAAUCCACUGUAUUUUUAAUAUUUUUCCACUUUGUUGUCAAUCCUUCAUCUUUGUCUUUGUCUUCAAGAAGUAACUCCAAUUUUCCUUGUAAUUUUCCAUCAAUAGCUUGAAGAAAUAAUUCAACCUUGUUCGGCUUUAAUGUCAAUUUUUCUACCUUCGAUAAUUGAGAGUACUGCCUCUCAAAUUCUCUUAGUAGUUCUAUUGCUUGUAAAUUCUUAUUAGGCCACUCAAUCCAUUCUAGAAAUAAUUUCUUAGUAAUACAAUGAGUGUCUUCCAUGAAAUAUUCAUCUUUUAAUGCAUGUGAAUAAAUCUCCCAUGAAUUUCCAUAAUACUCCAUAAUUGAAGUAAUAUGUUCUCUUAUCUCUAGUACCAUGGUUAGUCCAAAUAAUUCAACCAUCUUCUUCUCAGAAACCUGAUUUAAUUCCAUUUUCCGAACAUAACAUCUUAAAUACUUUGAAAUAUCCCUUCCAUCAAACUGGUCAAUUUUAUUGACCACUGCUUGUAAAGCUUCUUUGCAAUCAUUUCUUUGCUGUUGCUCUAUAGAUAAUGAUAAGGCUUGAAACAUACUAGCAAAGGAUGGAUCCAUGCACAUAGCUUAUCCUUUAGAAGAAGCUCCACUUAAAGCUCCUUCAAAAUUUUUAUUCUCGUUCUCCAAAAAAUAAAAAUGAAAAUAAAUGAACACCAAUGCCUCACACGUUAAGCGUUUCACAUCGGAUUCACCACUUAUGUUGUAUUAUGUGCUAUCUAGCUUGAGAACGCAUCGGGUGUCUAGCUGUAGAAGAUAAAAUGAUGUUUAACAAAUAUCCAAGUAGUCUAGUGGUUUUCAACCAUCUAAACACAAACUAUUUCGGAUUUCAAUGUAAAAGCUUAAUUCCAAUACAAAGUACUUAGAAAUACUAUUUUUAAUAACUUCAAGAUAUUAUAAGUAUAAUUUUUUUUUUAUUUGUUAGUUUUAUUUUUUAUUUUAUUUUAUUUUUUAUUUUUUUAAACCCUAAUCCUAAACAACAAGCUUCGACAAGCUGAAAUUUUCAAUCUGACCAUCCGAUUGUUGUAAACUUCUACUGCUAAUGUCUUUGCAAGCCUUCUAAAUGCUCAAGAAGUUUCAAUCCAAUCUAACUUAUAGAUUGCAAAAAAAUGCCAUAAAUCCACAUUGAUGUAUCUUGACUGCCGCUUAGAAGUCCUCGACUUACCAUGCCAAAAGUCACCUUAUUCCAGCUGAUAAAUCUCUAGAUAUUACAAAAAUCCUACAUAACUCCAAUCUACUAACUUUUGAUACCUCUUUACACUAAUGGUCAAAUAUCCUCUAUCUGUUCCGUUAGAUUAAUACAAACUUUUGCAUGCACUAGGCAUACUCAACCCUCUAGACAACUCUAUAUCUCAAUCGCAAAAGUUUCUCUAAUUUCACAAGACAGUCGAGAGUACUAGCCUUAACUUUAUUGCAAAAAAAAAUCCAACCACCAAUACAAACACUGACUUUCAGCAACGAUUGCAAAAGUCCUUUCAAAACCUAUGAAUCCAAUUCACCAAUACAAACACUGACUUUGAGUAACGAUUACAAAGUCCUUCCAAAACCUAUGAACCCAAUUCACUAAUACAAACACUUUUCGAAGGAGCUUGAAGCUCCUUUCUGACCCCCAAAAUCCUAAUUUCCGAAUCCCCCUAAAAAUCCUCCUUUUAUUCCCUUCAGUUUAACUCCGUGUGGUCCCAUUUUCUCCCACUCUUGACUCCAAAUUGGAACAAUUGAUGGCACUUCCCCGGAAUUCCUGUCUCUAAGAGGAUCUUAUCUUGUAAAUGACGUUUCUCUUAGAAUGGCAUAGAGAACGGAAUAGCUUGAGAUGGAAUCGAAGCCUCCAUAAUCAGGACCUCAUUGGGUUGCCCAAUCGAGUCAAGUCCCAUACUGGGUAAGAUGCUUGUAAUAGGAGCUGGAUUAGAUGUCACAUAAUUGGAUCAAAUUGGCCCUUCGCAUCAGGCUCACCUAAUUUUUGAAUUGGUCCUUUCUCCUUUUUUUGACUCUUGGUAAGAACAACUUGGACACAUUCUACCCGUUUAUCAGAGAAUCUUGAGGUCCUUGAUUUAUCUCCUCAAUUUUUCCUUGGCUUUAGAUCUACUGAUCUUGUUUAUUGAAAUUGGACGGAGCAUUACAUUGCUGAUAAGUAUGCCCCGACUGCUUACAAUUCCUACAAAUUGGUGCGUAAUCAUUAUUGGCUUUGGGAUUGGAACAAUCACUAGCAUAAUAACCAACCUGUCUGCAACAGAAAUAACAAAGUGGUCUUCCUGUACUCCCAUCAUGCAUAUUGGGUGUCUCCACCGGUAUAUACCUACUAGGCUUGUUCCAUGUAGGAUUGGAAAGUGAUCGUAGUUGUUUCAUUGGUACGGAGGGUACUUGAUUUGAUGAUGCUAGUGGGGUGAUAUUAACUGACCCUGAAUAUUGGCACUUGAAUUGGCCAUUGUUUCUAAUAUCUAAGAUGACUAAAUAUAAAUAAUAUCUUUUUUAUUUAUAUUUUCACCAUAUAGUCGUGUUACAACACGACACCAGCGUCAUCAAAUUAAGUACCUUCCGUACCAAUGGGAUGAGUAAGAUUAUUUUUUAAUCCUACAUAGAACAAGCUAGUAGGUAUAUACUAGUGGAAAUACCUAAUAUGCCUGAUGGAAAUGCAAGAAGACCACUUCGUUGUUUCUGUUGCAGACAGAUUGGUCAUUAUGCUAAUGAAUGUCCUAAUUCCAAAGCCAAUGAUAAUUAUAUGCGAGUGUGUGGGAAUAGUAAGCAGUCGGGACAUACUUAUCAACAAUGUAAUGUUCCGUUCAAUUUCAAUAAUCAGGAUCAUCAGAUCCAAAGCCAUGGAAAAAUUGAAGAGAUAAAUCGAGGUCCUCAAGAUUCUCUGAUAAAUUGGGUGGAAUGUGUCCAAGCCGUUCUUAUCAAGAGUCGAUAAAAGAGAAAAGGACCAAUUCAACAUUCGGGUGAGCUUGAUGCGAAGGGCCAAUUUGAUCCAAUUACAAGGACAUCCAAUCCAGGUCCUGUUAUGGACCUCUUGCUCAAUAUGAGACCUGACUCGGUUGGGCAAUCCAAUGAGGUCUAGAAUAUGGAGGCUUCAAUUCCAUUUCAAGCUAUUCCGUUCUCUAUGCCAUUUUGGGAGAAACGUCCUUUCUGUAGAAAGAUCCUCUUAGAGGCAAGAAUUCCAUGGAAGCGCUGUUGUACUGUAAAUGCUUACAGUAUGUAAAAAUUAGCUAAAAUAUAUUAUAUGUUGAUAAAUCUAGAUGUAUGUUAGAGUGGCUAGUAGAUUAAAUUAAAAGGAUUUGGUAUAAGAAACUUUACUUUGUUUCUUUACUUCUUUUGAUUUUGAUAUUAAAAUAUAUAUAUAUAUAUAUAUAUAUAUAUAACCUAAAUGUUUAGUACGAAGCCUUGGAAGAAGGUGGAAACAUAAGGAUGAAAAUCUAAACUAGUAGGAGGCUAAUUGAAAGGGAUGAAAGCAAGGCCUGGUCGGAUGAAGGCAAGGAAUGUAGAACUUCAUCCCUAUUAGUCGAAUACCAUGCCCAAUAGGCUUCAAGGAGGCUGCCCGAGGCCUUAUUAAGGAUUAGGGUUCCACUUUCAGGGCAUUCGGAGAUAAGAAGCUAGGGUUGUAAAGUUUAGAGUUUGGAGAACAAUUUGUGUACAAAAAUUAGAGGAUUUGGAGUUAGGGUGAAAAAGUUAUAACCGUUUGAAGUUAAGGUAUUUAUUUAAAACAUACUGUUUCUCUUUUGAGAGUACGAGGAGUUUUAUAGCAGCUUUUGAAGAUCGGAAGGUGCAUCUGGAACGGUGAUUUCAAGGCCUACAUUAUUCACGAAAGAAUUAUUGCUUUUGGAGUUCAUAUGAAGGAGUUGUAAGGAGUUGAAGGCGACGCUUCCAAAUCAAAAGUAGAAGUAAGCGGGUUUAUUUGUAGUAAUGGUUGAAGCCAUAACUUGAGAUUUCGAACGAAUUUUUGACUCAAACUUUUUAGAGAAUGUAAAAUUUUGUGUUAAAAAGCUAUACAUAUAAAUUUCGUGGAAUUUGAGCUUAUAUUUUGUGAGAUAUGAAGAAAAUUUCAUGCAGAUAUAUAAAGACAAGAGUUUGAAGCGGCUGUUAGGGAUUUCAAGAUAUCUCAAGAUCUGCAAUGAAUUUGCUGUUGAAAUUUUUUGUAAAAGUUAAUAAAAAUACAUCAGUACCUCAUGUAAAAUUAGAGUUUUUUUGGACAGUCGGAUUAAGAGAUAUGAGGUGUUGAAGUUUGGAAAAAUCUCCCCAUAAGAAUAAACAAGGAUUUAGAAGAUUUUAUCAUAUUUUGGAAGUUGUGGGUUACUUGAGGAUUGUAUAUUUAGUGUAAUUACUCAAAAAGAGAAAGAUUUUAUAUAAACUUAGGGCUUCCCUUAUUUUCAAGCUUGAUUGAAUAAUUAGUGACAACCAGAAGCCCAGCGUUUUCUUGAGGCAAACUCUCUCUACCCCGACAGUACGAUGUCGUAUGGCGUGAUUUGCUAUCUGGGAAUACACUGGGUAAUUAGGUGUAGAGAGUGUACCUUAAACCUUUAUAUGAUUCUUUUCUUGGCUUCCAAAACUCCUUUAUUUUUGUAUAAAACUCCAAAUAUAACAAAAUCCCUUCAAAACACAUUUUUCCCGCCGAGGGUUUUCUCGCCCCAAACUUUAGAAAAUCAUAACUAUUGAUCGAACCGUUAAGUUUGUUUCAAAUUAACAAAAUAGGUAGAAUUUACCCUUAACUUGUACCACAAUAAAAACCAACCGCAAAUUUACUCCCGAUCUUCUGGCAUCUAAGAAACCCUAGCAGACACUCCAAACCCUAAUUUACAAGCACCCGAAAACUAUUUUCCUUAUAUCUCAAAAAUCCGAACUCCAAAUGUCAUAAAACUUAUGCACAAAGUUUACUAACAUGAAAUUACACGUUCCUUGAAAUUUUGAGCCAAAACCUCACAAAAUUGCUCAAGAUGUAGCUCAAGAGACAAACACUAGUAAAUCGGUUUAUUUACUACCCUUAGAUUGCAUGUGCUGACUUUAAAAUCCAAUAACUCAUUUAUCCCAACUUGGAAUCCAGUAUGCAGUAUAUGAAAAGUAUAGCCGCAAAAGUGCUCUUUCCAGUCGCGAUCGUCGAUCCUCAAUUGCCAUCCGUACGCGUGCGUUAUGCCCAAAAGAGUGACAGUAGGUCCAAAACUAACACCUUAACUUUGAGCGCCUAUAACUUCUUCAUAAAAACCCCAAAUGACACAAAACUUGCACCAAAACCUUAACCAAAAACCUAAACCUUCUGACCCUAGCCUUCAAAGUUCGAGUGGCCUCGAGAAACUAACCCUAAUCCCUAAUAUGGCCUCGGACAGCCUCGUCAAAGCCCAUUGGUCAUGAUUUUUGACCAAUAGGAAUGGAGAUUUUUAUUUUUCAUCUCCAUUCAUCUAUAUUGGUGCCCUAAUUCCUCCCUUUGCUACCAAAACCCUUCUUCAAUCCUUUUUCUUAUAAGAUUUACAUAAUGUAUGCUCUAAACACCAAAUAAAAGAACCAAAAUAGUUUUUUAAAUGUCACCAAUGUCUAACAAAGGUGACUCUAAAUAUUUAGAAGUUACUAUCAACCAAAACCAAUCUUAAAAGCCACUAUCAAAAAGAAAUUAAAGUUAUACAAAUUCUAUAGUAAUCUUUUUAAACAACCUCUUCUCAAAGUAAUAAUCAAAUUAUAUCCUACAACCAACUAAAAUCUACUAACAUGGCUCUUACUAUGUUACUUAAUAAAUUAUAUAUUAAGUACAUAAUUAUAUUAUUUUCAUAUAGUAGCCGAACCACAACACGACAGCGGUCUGUUGUUCCAAUUUCCAAUCUAGGACGGAAGAAUAGUGGACCUCAUAGAGUUAAAGGAAAAGAAAGAAAAGAAGAGAGGGCAUUCGGAGAUUAGGAUUUUUGAGGUCAGAGAGCUAGCUUCAGGUGCCUUCAAAAGGUGUAAGACUGAGUUUCAUAGGAUUUGGAAGGAUUUUGCAAUUGUUGCUCAAAGUAAGUGUUUGUAUUGGUAAAUUGGGUUUUUUUUGCAAUAAAGUUAAGGCUAGUAUUCUUGACUGUUUUGUGAAAUUGAAAAAACAUCUGCAAUUGAAAUUUUAGAAGUAUCUAGAUGGUUGAAUAUGCCAAGUGCUUGCAAAAAUUUGUAUUAAUCUAACGGUAUGGAUAGAGGAUAUUUGAUCAUUAGUGUAAAGAGGUAUUAGAAGUCGACAUAUUGGAGUCGUUUAGGAUUUUUGUAAUAUCUAGAGAUUUAUCAAGUAGAAUAAGGUGAAUUUAAAUGUAAUAAGUCAAAGACUUAAAAGUGGAGCUGCACACAAAGUUUGAAUGAGAAUUAAUAGUUGGAGAAGGAGAAAUUGUAAGUCAAGAUUUGUCAUCAACUUUCUUGGCGGCGGUCAAGGGACAUCAUUGUGGAUUUACGACGUUUUCUUGCAAUCUAUAAGUUAGAUUAGAUUGAAACUUCUUGAGCAUUUAGAAGACUUGCAAAGACACUAGCGAUAGAAGUUUUACAAUAAUCGGACGGUCAGAUUGAAAAUUAGAGCUUGGCAAAGCUCGCUGUCUAGGAUUAGGAUUUAAAAAUUUAAAAAAUAUAUAUAUAUAUAUAUAUAUAUAUAUGAAAAUAAAUAUAUAUAUAUAUAUAUAAAUAUUUUCAUAUAUAUAUAAAAAUAUAUAUAUAUAUAUAUAAAAAUAUAUAUAUAUAUAUAUAUAAAUAUAUAAAUAAUAAUAUAAUAAUAAUAAUAAUAUUAAUAAAAAUAAAAUAAAAUAAAACUAACAAAUAAUAAAAGAAUUUGUACUUAUAAUAUCUCGAAGUUAUUAAAAAUAGCAUUUUUAAGUACUUUGUAUUGGAAGUAAGCUUUUAUAUUCAAAUCCGAAAUAGUUUAUAUUUAGAUGGUUGAAACCCACUAGACUACUCGAAUACUUGUAAAAUAUCAUUUUAUCUUCCACAGCCAGACGCCCAGUGCAUUUUCAAGCAAGAUAGCACGUAAUAUGAUAACCUAGGAAGAGCAUUCAUAAUGGCGUCCAACUUGGACUCAAAACUUUGAAUCAUACUAAUAUCUUGAUCUCCGGCCAUUCUAAGAGAAGGAAAGAAAUGACUCUACAAGAAGGUAGUAUUGGUUUAGAAGAGGAUACUCCGCAACCUCUAAAACGCCUUAAAACCUUCAAGAAGAUGGGUAUUCCACUCUCUACAAGAAAGAUAAGACUCCAAUAUUAUAAUAGAAGAAAUAUCAAUUUAGUGGAGGAUAAUCCGCAACCUCUAAAAUGCUAACACUUUCAAGCAAAGGGAUAAUCCGCACUCUAAUAAGAAAGAACUAAUUCUGAUAUGAAAGAUGAGUGCAGUCUCGACAAACUGUCACAAAUUUAGAAUAUUGACUGAAAAUCUAAAUGAGAAGCUUAAGAAGAAUCGGUAAGAACUAGAUUAAUCAGAUGAGUACAAGAACAAUACUAGAGAGGUGAGCUAGAGCUCCAAGAGGUGUGUUGUCGAGACUGAGGAUUCCUUCAAUCUCGGCUCCUAUAUAUACUACAAGCUAGGAAGCUUCUCAAGUAGCUUCUAUAAACUAGGAAGCUUCUCAAGCAACUUCUACGAGUUAGGAAGCUUUUCAAGCAGCUUCCAUGAGCUUGAAAACUUCUCAAGUAGCUUCUACAAACUACAAAGUUUUUCUAAAACCUUCUAGAAUCUUCUACAAAUUCCUAGUGUAUGUCCUUGACAAAUGGCCACCUAGAGCAAAAUAGGGGUUUUUUUAAAGAUUGGCAAUUGGGAUUCAUGAGCUAACUUCAAGCUUAUUUCAAACUUGGGAGAUAUCCGGAUAUUAGUACAAGAAGAUAUCAAAAGUUUGCAGUUUGGAAUCGGGUGGUUUCUAUGAUAUCUAAAGAUCUAUUAAUUGGAUCAAAAUGAAGUUUGGAAUAGUAUUAGAAUAUUUUAAGAUCAAGAUAUAUACUAAUUUUAAGUUGAUGUUAACAAUUUCAAAAGGAAAAAUCACAAUUGAAACAUCUGCAUCAACUUUCAAAUUAGCGGCCAAGUGAUAUCAAUGCAGUUUUUUGGACUUUUUUUCACAAUUUGUAAAUUAAAUUAGGCUGAAUUUUUCUAAGCAUAUAAAAGACUUAUAGUAGUAUUUGUAUGAUUUUUUUUUCAUUAAUUAGAUAAUUAGAUUAAGAAUUAUAGGUUUCCAAAGGUCACUAAUUAGGAUUAGGACUUAUAAAAAAAAUCAAAAUUACGUAAUUAUAAAAGUAAUAAAAUAAUUAAAUUUUAUAUAUUAUUAAGGUUACUUAGAAGAGUAUUUUUGAUCACUUUAUAUUAACUUUAAGCAAUUUUGAAUUAAAAUUCAAAUUGCAUUCUUUUUAUAUAGGUAAACCUCUUAGGAUUUUUUAGAUAUUUGUAAAACACAACUUCACCUUCUAUAGCCAAGUGCCUUGUAUAUUUUUAAAUAAGACAAUACAUAUUACGACAACAAUCUUCAAAUAUUUUAUUCUUAUUGCUUAUUUAGUUGUUAUAAGAUAUAUAAAUUUUGAGUCAACAUCAAUAGUUUAAUUAUUAAUUAUUAAAUUUUUAAUCUGAUAAUAGAUUAUUAAGAUUUAUUUAAGAUUUAGGAUUUAAUUAAAGAUUGAUUAAGAUUGAUUUAGGAUCUAAAAUUUGAUUAAGAUUGAUUUAGGAUCUAAAAUUUGAUUAAGAUUUUUUUAGGUUUUGAUUAGAAUUUAGGAUUUAAAUUUGAUAAAGGUUUGAUUGAGAUUUUAUUAAUAUUUGAUUAAGAUUUGAUUAGGAUUUCAAUAGAAUUUCAUUAGAAUUAAUUUAAGAUUUAGAAUUUUAUUAAGAAUUCAUUAUGAUUUGAACUAAGAUUUUAUAAAGAUUCAUUAGGAUUUUAAUUAAGAUUUAAUUUAAGAUUUGAUUUAAGAUUUGGUUAGAAUUGGUUUAAAAUUUUAUUAGGAUUUAUUAAAGGUUAUAUUAGUAUUUGAUUAGGAUUCAAUUAGAAUAUCUAUUUUUAAUAUUUAUUUAAUAUUUUAAUAUUAUAUAUAUUAUUGAGAUUAAUUUAUUAUUUAUAUAUAUUUUUUUGUAAGUUUUUGAAACUUCUUUUGGAUCUAAUUAAGGAUAGAAUAACAUUGUUAUAAUUUAAUUAGAAUUUAUUUAAAAUUCUAUUAGAAUGGUUAGAAUCAUCUUCUUGCAAGAUCAUUUUUUUUCCUUCCGCAGUUAGGUAUCUAGUGCAUUCUUGAGAAGACUUCAUGUUGUAAGAGUAGAGAGAAUUUGCCUUAAGAAAGAGCUAGGCUUUUGGCUAUUACUAAUUAUUCAAUCAAAUCACAAGAUAGAAAAGCACCAAGUUUAUAUAUAAAAUUAUUCUUAUAGGAGCAAUUACAUCAAUACACAAGUCCUAAGUAUCAAAAAUCAUCCAAAAUGUGAUAAAAUAUUAUAAAAUCUUAUAUUUCUUUAAGGUGAAAACUUCUUAAAUUUCAAUAGUUCAUAUUUCACGAUUCAAUCGUCUAAACAAACUAAAAUUUUAUAUAAAGUACUAAUUUACAUUUAACAACUUUUACAACAACUUUUAUAACAAAUUUCAAUUGCAAAUUCAUUACGAAUCUUUAGAUAUCAUCAAAAUCCUAAUAAUAGCUUCAAAUCCUUACUUGCAUACAUUAAUGUGCAAUUUUCUUUAUAUUUCACAAAUUAAAUAUUUAAAUACCAUAAAAUUUUGAUAUAUAGCUUUCUAAUCUAAUAAUAAAUACUUUUAGAAAUUUUGAGCUUAAAAUUCAUCUGGAAACUCAAGUUAUGGCUUCAAUCAUUACUAUCAACUAAAUAACUCACUUAUUGCCUUUGAAUAACAUAUGUUGUCUUUAAUACUCUAUAACGCCUUCAUUUAAAAUCUAAAUGUAGAAAUUCUUUCAUAAAGACUUAGAAUUUGAAAUCAUCCUUUUGAUUAUAUCUCUUGAUCUCCAAAAGCUAUUGUAAAACUCCUCAUAUUUUCAAAAGAGCAAUAGUAUGACUUAAAAAGACACCUUAACUUCAAACGGCUAUAACUUCAUUAUAUUAAUUUCAAAUCCUCUAAAUUUUAUAUACAAAUUGUACUUCAAAUCCUAAAAAUUAUAAUCCUUGCCUCUAAAUCUCAAAUGUCCCUUUUGAAGUUGCCAAAAUCCUUAUUAUGGUCGCAGAUAGUCUUCUAAGAACCUAUUGGACAUGGUUUUUGAUCACAAAGCAUGAAGAUCCUCACUUUUUGCCUUCAUUCAUCUAUUCUUUACUUUCAUCUGUCCAAAUAAAUUUCUUAAACGUUUGAAUCUUCAUUUUUGAGUCCCAAUCUUCUCUUUAAAUUUUAUACUAAAUAUCUAAAUCUUAUAUAAUUUAAAUACUAUAAUCAAAAUAAAUAAACCUUAAAAUAAAUUUUCUUACAUCAAUUCUCUUUAAAUUAAGCUACUAACCACUCUAAUACAUAUCAACACUUGUAAAUAUAUUAUAUAUUUUAGUAAAUUUUUACAUACUAUAAAAAACUAUAAUAUGACAAAAUAAUAUGAUAAUAGAAGAAACUUUGGAAGUU